UAGUCCACGCCGUAAACGAUGGUCACUAGCUGUUCGGACUUCGGUCUGAGUGGCUAAGCGAAAGUGAUAAGUGACCCACCUGGGGAGUACGUUCGCAAGAAUGAAACUCAAAGGAAUUGACGGGGGCCCGCACAAGCGGUGGAGCAUGUGGUUUAAUUCGAUGAUACGCGAGGAACCUUACCAGGGCUUAAAUGUAAGUUGCAUUAGCUAGAGAUAGUCAUUUCUUCGGACUACUUACAAGGUGCUGCAUGGUUGUCGUCAGCUCGUGCCGUGAGGUGUCAGGUUAAGUCCUAUAACGAGCGCAACCCCUGUUGUUAGUUGCCAGCGAUUUAAGUCGGGAACUCUAACAAGACUGCCAGUGCAAACUGUGAGGAAGGUGGGGAUGACGUCAAAUCAUCACGGCCCUUACGUCCUGGGCUACACACGUGCUACAAUGGCAUGUACAAUGGGCAGCCAACCUGCGAAGGUGAGCCAAUCCCAAAAAGCAUGUCCCAGUUCGGA
RNAcentral lists this ribosomal RNA (501 nucleotides) under uncultured bacterium. Its description in RNAcentral is "bacterial SSU rRNA". It matches the Rfam family "Bacterial small subunit ribosomal RNA", at positions 791 to 1297 of the family's 1533-position model. The record is from RNAcentral.